CCAGACCACCAGCUAAGGUCCCAAAAUAUAUGUUAAGUGGAAAAGGAUGUGGCGUUGCCCAGACAACUAGGAUGUUGGCUUAGAAGCAGCCAUCAUUUAAAGAGUGCGUAAUAGCUCACUAGUCGAGUGACACUGCGCCGAAAAUGUACCGGGGCUAAACAUAUUACCGAAGCUGUGGAUUGUCCUUUGGACAAUGGUAGGAGAGCGUUCUAAGGGCGUUGAAGCAUGAUCGUAAGGACAUGUGGAGCGCUUAGAAGUGAGAAUGCCGGUGUGAGUAGCGAAAGACGGGUGAGAAUCCCGUCCACCGAUUGACUAAGGUUUCCAGAGGAAGGCUCGUCCGCUCUGGGUUAGUCGGGUCCUAAGCUGAGGCCGACAGGCGUAGGCGAUGGAUAACAGGUUGAUAUUCCUGUACCACCUAUAAUCGUUUUAAUCGAUGGGGGGACGCAGUAGGAUAGGCGAAGCGUGCGAUUGGAUUGCACGUCUAAGCAGUAAGGCUGAGUAUUAGGCAAAUCCGGUACUCGUUGAGGCUGAGCUGUGAUGGGGAGAAGACAUUGUGUCUUCGAGUCGUUGAUUUCACACUGCCGAGAAAAGCCUCUAGAUAGAAAAUAGGUGCCCGUACCGCAAACCGACACAGGUAGUCAAGAUGAGAAUUCUAAGGUGAGCGAGCGAACUC
The sequence is a ribosomal RNA, 673 nucleotides long. It matches the Rfam family "Bacterial large subunit ribosomal RNA", at positions 1027 to 1701 of the family's 2925-position model.